GUGAUAACGUCCUGUCGCGAGAGGGGAACAACCCAGACCACCAGCUAAGGCCCCCAAAUCCGGGCUAAGUUGAUCAAAGAAAGUUGAGUUGCUCAGACAACUAGGAGGUUGGCUUAGAAGCAGCCAUUCCUUUAAAGAGUGCGUAAUAGCUCACUAGUCAAGCGACUCGGCGUCGAUAAUAAGCGGGCAUAAGUCCGGUGCCGAAGCUGUGGGAUUGAAAAAUCGGUAGGGGAGCAUUCCAGUGGCGUCGAAGGGGUACCCGUGAGGGACCUUGGAGCGACUGGAAGCGAAACUGUAGGCAUGAGUAACGAUAAGAAGGGUGAAAAACCCUUCCACCGCAAACCCAAGGGUUCCUGAUCAACGCUAAUCGGAUCAGGGUUAGUCGAGACCUAAGGUGUACCCGGUAAGGCCGGGGAAGCCGAUGGCAAAGCGGUUAAAUAUUCCGCUACCUGGGUGAACGUUAGGCUAAGGCGUGACGCAGAAGUGAAACUCCCGCGCCCCGACGAAUGGGCGUUAAAGGGCGUAGGCUGGGAGGUAGGCAAAUCCGCCUCCCGCAAGGCUGAACCCCGACAGUACCCGGAACCGCAAGGCGAAGGGAUAGUGGAGGUAAUCAUGCUGCCAAGAAAAGCGUCGUAGUUUGUUCAACCAGCUCGUACCCCAAACCGACACAGGUGGGUGAGGAGAGUAUCCUCAGGUGCUCGAGUAAUUCAUGGCUAAGGAACUAGGCAAAUUAGAUCCGUAACUUCGGGAGAAGGAUCCCCACGCCUCGGCGUGGGCGCAGUGAAAAGGCCCAAGCGACUGUUUACCAAAAACACAUGUCUCUGCAAAGCCGCAAGGCGACGUAUAGGGACUGACACCUGCCCGGUGCCGGAAGGUUAAGAGGAGAGGUGAGAGCUUUGAAUCGAAGCCCCGGUAAACGGCGGCCGUAACGAUAACGGUCCUAAGGUAGCGAAAUUCCUUGUCGGGU
Molecule: ribosomal RNA, 967 nt
Filed under: Isochrysis galbana
Lineage: Eukaryota; Haptophyta; Isochrysidales; Isochrysidaceae
Description: partial Bacterial large subunit ribosomal RNA
Rfam family: Bacterial large subunit ribosomal RNA
Source: RNAcentral